RNAcentral lists this ribosomal RNA (230 nucleotides) under uncultured bacterium. Its description in RNAcentral is "partial 16S ribosomal RNA". It matches the Rfam family "Bacterial small subunit ribosomal RNA", at positions 561 to 790 of the family's 1533-position model. The record is from RNAcentral.
UAAAGCGUGCGCAGGCGGUUAUAUAAGACAGAUGUGAAAUCCCCGGGCUCAACCUGGGAACUGCAUUUGUGACUGUAUAGCUGGAGUGCGGCAGAGGGGGAUGGAAUUCCGCGUGUAGCAGUGAAAUGCGUAGAUAUGCGGAGGAACACCGAUGGCGAAGGCAAUCCCCUGGGCCUGCACUGACGCUCAUGCACGAAAGCGUGGGGAGCAAACAGGAUUAGAUACCCAGU